GUGUUCUCCUUUCUGGAUAUUCUCUUUUUCUUCUUUUUGUUGAAUUUCUUAAGAAAUUUGAUAAAACCAAGAAUUUGUUUUAAUGUCUCAAUCAUAGGAACUUUAAUCUCCAAUUUCUUGAAGAUUUCCAUGAAGCGCUCAAAUUGAUUUUCCUUCCUAUGAUACUUCUUUGGAUGAGGAAGGGGUUUUUCAUAUGAUUCCUUCUUCUUUUUUCUCAUCCUCUUUUUCUUACUUUUCUCA
Molecule: long non-coding RNA, 240 nt
Filed under: Vigna radiata
Lineage: Eukaryota; Viridiplantae; Streptophyta; Magnoliopsida; Fabales; Fabaceae
Description: long non-coding RNA (VRAD_LNC012148)
Source: RNAcentral